AAAAAGGGCUUCUGUCUUGAGUGUCAUACGUCGGGCAACUCGUUUGCUCUGUGUACAGAAUCGACAUCAAGAGAUUUAGGAAGCAUAAUUUUUUGAUGCCUGGGCAGCUGGUGAUCAUUGGUUCUGGGGCCCCU
RNAcentral lists this small nuclear RNA (134 nucleotides) under Catagonus wagneri (Chacoan peccary). RNAcentral's name for it is "U11 spliceosomal RNA (ENSCWAG00000019260.1)". It matches the Rfam family "U11 spliceosomal RNA". Lineage: Eukaryota; Metazoa; Chordata; Mammalia; Artiodactyla; Tayassuidae. The record is from Rfam by way of RNAcentral.